GAGGGUAUAGCAGUGGCAGAAUGCAUGCUUAGCAUGCAUGAGGUCCUGGGUUCAAUCCCCAGUACCUCCA
RNAcentral lists this transfer RNA (70 nucleotides) under Camelus bactrianus (Bactrian camel). It matches the Rfam family "tRNA". Rfam says of the family: Transfer RNA (tRNA) molecules are approximately 80 nucleotides in length. Their secondary structure includes four short double-helical elements and three loops (D, anti-codon, and T loops). Further hydrogen bonds mediate the characteristic L-shaped molecular structure. tRNAs have two regions of fundamental functional importance: the anti-codon, which is responsible for specific mRNA codon recognition, and the 3' end, to which the tRNAs corresponding amino acid is attached (by aminoacyl-tRNA synthetases). tRNAs cope with the degeneracy of the genetic code in two manners: having more than one tRNA (with a specific anti-codon) for a particular amino acid; and 'wobble' base-pairing, i.e. permitting non-standard base-pairing at the 3rd anti-codon position. Lineage: Eukaryota; Metazoa; Chordata; Mammalia; Artiodactyla; Camelidae. The record is from Rfam by way of RNAcentral. RNAcentral also lists the same sequence under 2 other names.